This 817-nucleotide ribosomal RNA is filed under the name Jobellisia guangdongensis. Its description in RNAcentral is "eukaryotic LSU rRNA". It matches the Rfam family "Eukaryotic large subunit ribosomal RNA", at positions 69 to 917 of the family's 3401-position model. The record is from RNAcentral. Lineage: Eukaryota; Fungi; Ascomycota; Sordariomycetes; Jobellisiaceae.
CAGGGAUUGCCCUAGUAACGGCGAGUGAAGCGGCAACAGCUCAGAUUUGAAAUCCGGCUUCGGCCCGAGUUGUAAUCUGUAGAGGAUGCUUCUGGCGACGCGCCCGCUGAGUCCCCUGGAACGGGGCGCCACGGAGGGUGAGAGCCCCGUACGGCGGGACGCCUAGCCUGUGCGAAGCUCCUUCGACGAGUCGAGUAGUUUGGGAAUGCUGCUCAAAACGGGAGGUAAAUUCCUCCUAAAGCUAAAUACAGGCCAGAGACCGAUAGCGCACAAGUAGAGUGAUCGAAAGAUGAAAAGCACUUUGGAAAGAGGGUUAAAUAGCACGUGAAAUUGUUGAAAGGGAAGCGCCCGUGGCCAGACUCGGGCCAGGCGGUUCCGUCAGCGCUCGUCGCUGGCGUACUCCGCCUAGCCCGGGCCAGCAUCGGUGCCCGCUGGGGGAUAAAGGCCCUGGGAACGUAGCUCUCCAGGGAGCAUUACAGCCCGGGGCGUAAUGCCUCAGGGGGGACCGAGGUUCGCGCACUCCGCAAGGAUGCUGGCGUAAUGGCCACCGGCGACCCGUCUUGAAACACGGACCAAGGAGUCGUCCAUUGGAGCGAGCGUUUGGGUGCUAAACCCGUACGCGUAAUGAAAGUGAACGUAGGUGAGAGCUUCGGCGCAUCAUCGACCGAUCCUGAUGUUCUCGGACGGAUUUGAGUAAGAGUUCCAACGGACGGACCCGAAAGAUGGUGAACUAUGCCUGUAUAGGGUGAAGCCAGAGGAAACUCUGGUGGAGGCUCGCAGCGGUUCUGACGUGCAAAUCGAUCGUCAAAUAUGGGCA